GGGUUGAGGAUGACAUUUCAAUGGGGCUGAAAAGAGGUGAUGUCUUGAAAAACAGGCUCAAUAGAAUUAUGCUGAGGCCC
RNAcentral lists this small nucleolar RNA (80 nucleotides) under Heterocephalus glaber (naked mole-rat). Its description in RNAcentral is "Small nucleolar RNA SNORD115 (ENSHGLG00000043021.1)". It matches the Rfam family "Small nucleolar RNA SNORD115". From Rfam's summary of the family: HBII-52 is a member of the C/D class of snoRNAs, which contain the C (UGAUGA) and D (CUGA) box motifs. HBII-52 is encoded in a tandemly repeated array with another C/D snoRNA, HBII-85, in the Prader-Willi syndrome (PWS) region of chromosome 15. Lineage: Eukaryota; Metazoa; Chordata; Mammalia; Rodentia; Bathyergidae. The record is from Rfam by way of RNAcentral.